This 447-nucleotide ribosomal RNA is filed under the name uncultured bacterium. RNAcentral's name for it is "bacterial SSU rRNA". It matches the Rfam family "Bacterial small subunit ribosomal RNA", at positions 62 to 543 of the family's 1533-position model. The record is from RNAcentral.
UCGAACGAGAAAGCCCGCAAGGGUGAGUAAAGUGGCGCACGGGUGAGUAACACGUGGGUAAUCUGCCUCUGGGUGGGGAAUAACUCUGGGAAACCGGAGCUAAUACCGCAUAAUCCUGAGAAGGAAAAGGAGAAAUCCGCCGAGAGAGGAGCCCGCGGCCGAUUAGCUGGUUGGUGAGGUAAAAGCUCACCAAGGCAAUGAUCGGUAGCCGGCCUGAGAGGGCACACGGCCACACUGGCACUGAAACACGGGCCAGACUCCUACGGGAGGCAGCAGUGGGGAAUCUUGCACAAUGGGGGAAACCCUGAUGCAGCGACGCCGCGUGAGCGAUGAAGCCCUUCGGGGUGUAAAGCUCUUUCGGCAGGAACGAUAAUGACGGUACCUGAAGAAGAAGCUGCGGCUAACUACGUGCCAGCAGCCGCGGUAAUACGUAGGCAGCGAGCGUUG